GACAAACGCUGGCGGCAUGCCUAACACAUGCAAGUCGAACGGACAGAACAGGGAAGCUUUUCGGAGUGGAACUGGAAAGUUAGUGGCGGAUGGGUGAGUAACGCGUGGACAACCUACCUUGUAAAGGGGAAUAACCUCGAGAAAUCGAAGCUAAUACCCCAUAAUAACCUUGCUUCGCAUGAAGUAAGGAGGAAAGGCGGCCUUAGCGCUGUCGAUACAAGAUGGGUCCGCGUCUGAUUAGCUAGUUGGUGAGGUAAGGCUCACCAAGGCGACGAUCAGUAGCCGGCCUGAGAGGGUGAACGGCCACAUUGGGACUGAGACACGGCCCAAACUCCUACGGGAGGCAGCAGUGGGGAAUCUUCCGCAAUGGGCGAAAGCCUGACGGAGCAAUGCCGCGUGAGUGAAGAAGGCCUUCGGGUUGUAAAACUCUGUCCUUAUCGAAGAGAGAGUGUUGUAGUAACUGACAAUACUAGGACGGUAGAUGAGGAGGAAGCCCCGGCUAACUAUGUG
RNAcentral lists this ribosomal RNA (510 nucleotides) under uncultured bacterium. Its description in RNAcentral is "partial 16S ribosomal RNA". It matches the Rfam family "Bacterial small subunit ribosomal RNA", at positions 28 to 507 of the family's 1533-position model. The record is from RNAcentral.